AAAGAGUCUGUAAGUCUACCACUUAUGAAGGAGGCUGAAGGUCAAAGGAGAAGACAUUGCACCCUUCCUCACUUACAGCAAUUGCUCUAGACACAACCACUGGUCAGAAAGCAAGUUUUAUGAGCUACCUGAAUACUUGGAUCCCAGUAACUUGAGCUGCUUGUUUACAGAAAUUCACACAUAUUUUUCCCUCUGGGGAGAGGAAGAGAGGAGGAAAAGGCUGCAUGUGACAGAUGCUAAUUAUGCAGCUUAAUGCACUUCUGGAAGUUGCAGUGAUGAGAACUGUAUAAGAACGUAUGUAGAAAAUGGCAUAUUUUCAAUGCCAUAAUGCCAUUUUUUUCACUUUU
Molecule: long non-coding RNA, 347 nt
Organism: Nothoprocta perdicaria
Lineage: Eukaryota; Metazoa; Chordata; Aves; Tinamiformes; Tinamidae
Exons: 3
Source: RefSeq, a predicted model, not a curated record